This 403-nucleotide ribosomal RNA is filed under the name uncultured bacterium. RNAcentral's name for it is "partial 16S ribosomal RNA". It matches the Rfam family "Bacterial small subunit ribosomal RNA", at positions 29 to 526 of the family's 1533-position model. The record is from RNAcentral.
AUUGAACGCUGGCGGCAGGCCUAACACAUGCAAGUCGAGCGAGCGGCGGACGGGUGAGUAAUGUAUGGGGACUGCCCGAUAGAGGGGGAUAACUACUGGAAACGGUGGCUAAUACCGCAUACUAUCGGAUAACCCAUAUGGGAUUAGCUAGUAGGUGGGGUAAAGGCUCACCUAGGCGACGAUCUCUAGCUGGUCGGAGAGGAUGAGCAGCCACACUGGGAAGGAGAAACGGCCCAGACUCAUACGGAGGCAGCAGUGGGGAAUGUUGGACAAUGGGCGCAAGCCUGAUGCAGCCAUGCCGGGUGUAUGAAGAAGGCCUUAGGGUUGUAAAGUACUUUCAGCGGGGAGGCGUUACCCGAAGAAGAAGCACCGGCUAACUCCGUGCCAGCAGCCGCGAUAAUUC